AUGUGCAAACCACUGACAGUGCAAAAAAAGUGUAGAAAAUUUGGUCAUUGGCAUUGCAAUAUAGGCACUUGGGGGUUAUUUUUCAGCCUUGGCUUAAAACUCCCAAACUUGGGUUCCUUUGCUUAAAACACCAGCAGCCCACCAGUGCUAUUUCCUCUGCUUUCACAAACACUCCCAACUCCUAUAUCUGCACCUCCCCUCCUCUUCACCCUUCACCACCACUGAUCUCCACCCGUCACUGCCACGGCAAGGCUAAUAAGGAGUAUCCUAAUAUUGCCCAAGACUAAGUGACACAGGGAUUUAAAUUGAAGCAUGGACACCUCAAAAUGAUUACAUUGACAUGUGAAAUGGGGACCUUACUCUAUGGUUUAAAAGAAAGGUGAGGUUAGUGCAAUGCAACCUCUGCAUUAAUCUAAAAGUUAAUUGCAGAGAUGCUGAAACUUGGCAGCAAAUAGUAUAGUCCUCUAAGGCUUAUCUUUUUCAUUUCUAAACAUUCUUUUGUCCUUCAUGAAGCAUUUAGCGGUGUUAAGAAAUCUUCUUUGCUAUGAUUGGAGCUAAUUUUGUUAUGAGUUGUUGAUUGUGUUGGAACUCAGCAUUCUUGAAGAUUCAACGAGGAACGGAUCAAGUCAUGGAGGACGAAGUUUCUGAUGCUACCAUAGCAACAGGGAGUCACUUCUAACUUUGGUUUUAACUGUGUAGUUGCAUUAGGGACAAUGCAACAUUUUAAGUUGGGGGAGGCUUUAUUUCGAUAGAUAUUUUUGUGAUGGGGUGUGAUAUGUCAUGAUGGAUGAUAAUUUGGUAGAUUGAUGUUAUUUUGGUAUUAUUUUUUUAAUGACAUUUAUAUUAGUAUAAUUUUUUUUAUUACUAUCUUCUUUAGUUUUUUUGUAGUUUAGUUGUAGGAAUGGUAUUGGGAUGUGAUUUUUGUCCCUUGACUAAUUUUUGGCUUGCUUGGUACCAAUAUAUUUAAACCUUGGCAUAUGAAUUCUUGAUUUUUGAACAAAAAAAAAAAUGAUUGAAGUAAGGAUUCUUUUGUGACUUUUAGAUUCAAUGUUUGGCUCUUUUGUUCACUAAUGGUCUCUUUAUACUAUAAGUGACUUUCUUUGAGUUCAUUUGUUUCAAUUGGAUUUUGGAUACAUUUUUCACUGGAUUUUUCAUGUGCCAUGUGUGGUGAGGUUAAUUGUGAGUUCUUUUGCAUUAGUUGUGGUCUAGAACUUGCCCGAAAUGUGUUUCAAGGCGAAAUCCUAGACCAACUUGGUUUGAAAAAUGAUGUUAGGCUUUCCUUGGACCGUUUUUGUGCCUUAAAUAUCCUACCCUUACAUGUUUUCCCUAGUCAACCCUUUUUGAGCCUUUAACCUUUUCUUUGACAACCAUGUUACAAGUUUUACCCCGUUCUUCAUUGAUCCAUCUUUUGGUACCCUACCUCCUUAAGUGCGUUGAAAAUACAAACAUAGGCUAAAUGCCUGAGUUUGGGGGUGAUGGUUGGAAAAAGUUGUUAUGUGGGAGUUACUUUAAAUGUGAAAAGGUGAAAAAAAAAAUGAAAGCUUCUUUGUUAUUUUGGAAAAAAAAAAAGAGAAAAAGAAAAAGGAGGGAAUAAUAAGAGUUGUGAGUAAAGAGAAGACUAGGUGGUGAAAUGAAAAAUGAAGAAAGGGGUAGAAAAGUUUCAAAGGAAGUGUGCUUUGAAUGUUGAAAAUUGUAGUGGUUAGGGAGGUUUUGAGUCACUUUUACCCAAAUUGUGUCCUACCUUAACCGAAAGCCUACAUUAGAACCCUUUAAGUCCUAAUUGAUUUUGAACCAAGUGUGUCUACAUUAAUGGAGAAAUACAUAAAGGGCAAGCUUAUGGUACUACUUGUGUGCAUGUGAACAUCUUUGCGAGAGAGAGAGUUAAUUCUUUCUAUUUGAUAUCCAUUUGUGUUUUGAAUUACAUUUUCUAAGUGUGGGAUUCUCUCUUGAGUGUGAGGGCACAUGAGAAUUUAAGUUGUGAAUUUGUUCCAUUUUCCAAUUGAGAGGAAUGAACAAAAGAAAGUCGUUUUGUGAUAAUGAGGAAAAUUUUGAAGCUUUAGUAUCAUGACUUGAUUGCUACUUUGAUUAACUUGGUGUUUGAGUACUUGAAAUGAAAAUGAAGUUUUUGAGAAGAAGUUGGUGAUUCAUAUGUUUUGAAUUAAUUGUUGGUACUAAUCAAAGUCAUGUUUUUGUGCUUAAAGUAGACUUUUUGACUUGGUAUGAUGUUGGUGCACUAUUGAGUCGAUUCCUUAGAAGGAGAUUGUAUGUUUUGAAUUGCUUGAGGACAAGCAAUAGUUUAAGUUUGGGGGUUUGAUAAGUUGGUAUUUUACCAACUUCUCUUUUUUAAUCUUAUAUUUUUGCUAUGUUUGAUUGAGAAAAUAGUGAAUUUAAUAUCUUUUACAUCUAUUUUACAGGUUUUAUAUGAUUUAGAAGUGAUCGGAAGAAAUCAAGUGAAAAUAAAGUAAAAACGAGGCCAAAUUGGACAGAUUUGCAAAACUGUCAAAACUGGACAGUUUUGCAAAAAGGGGACAGAUUUGCAAAAAUGGGCAGAACUGCAAAAAUUGAAAUCUGGGGCAUAUUUUGUCAUUUUUUGGAUUUGGAAAAAUUAGGCAACUAUAAAAGCAAGACUUGGUGAAAUUAUUUAUCAUCUUUAGCCAUCUUCCAAGCUUAGAGCAAGAAACUACACUAGGGUUUGAAGAUUUGGAGGCACACAAUGAGAAAUUCUUUACCCAUUUCUUCAUCUCUUGCUAUUUAUUGAAUAUUUAUGUGUGUAGUAUUUCAUUUCAAUACGUGAACCUUGUUUAUGGAAGUAUACAUUGUUUAAGUUUGGAUUGAAUCUCUUGUUUUGCUUA
Long non-coding RNA from Lycium barbarum (goji berry), 2852 nucleotides. RefSeq lists it as uncharacterized. The record is from RefSeq and is a predicted model, not a curated record. The transcript is spliced from 2 exons. Lineage: Eukaryota; Viridiplantae; Streptophyta; Magnoliopsida; Solanales; Solanaceae.